This 253-nucleotide ribosomal RNA is filed under the name uncultured bacterium. Its description in RNAcentral is "partial 16S ribosomal RNA". It matches the Rfam family "Bacterial small subunit ribosomal RNA", at positions 524 to 776 of the family's 1533-position model. The record is from RNAcentral.
UACGUAGGGCCCGAGCGUUGUCCGGAAUCAUUGGGCGUAAAGAGCGUGUAGGCGGUCCGGUAAGUCCGCUGUGAAAGUCGGGGGCUCAACCCUCGAAUGCCGGUGGAUACUGUCGGGCUUGAGUACGGAAGAGGCGAGUGGAAUUCCUGGUGUAGCGGUGAAAUGCGCAGAUAUCAGGAGGAACACCAAUUGCGAAGGGAGCUCGCUGGGAGGUUACUGAGGCUGAGACGCGAAAGCGUGGGGAGAGAACAGG